Molecule: long non-coding RNA, 3270 nt
Filed under: Malus domestica (apple)
Lineage: Eukaryota; Viridiplantae; Streptophyta; Magnoliopsida; Rosales; Rosaceae
Description: long non-coding RNA (MDOM_LNC019943)
Source: RNAcentral
CAAACGAAUAAGUUCGUUAAAGACCUCGGGAUAGUUUUGGACCUUAAGGCCCAAUGGGCUUCGAACAUCAAGCCCAUUGACUUAAGUUGUAUGACAACUUAAUGAAUAAUGAUUCACAAAGGCCCAAUUAGCCCAAUAAUGCCCUAAGGCCGGCCAUUUAGAGAUGGAGUGAGUUUUGGAUUUAUUUACAAGUUUGCCACUCCAAUGAAUUAAGGUAUAAAUAUGACUUUAUAGCCAAAAUUCAUUUAGGGUUUUCUUUUGGGGAAAGGAUGAGAACAUAAACUCUCCUUUCUCUCUAAAGUGGCCGGCCUCCUUGGAGGGUUUAGCUAGCAAUCCUACUACUCUAGGUCACUCAUUUCUUCUCCAAUCUAACCUUGGUGAAGAGACUUAGAGGUUCUCAAUUUUGGGAACUUUGAGAACCAUUUCAUCCAUCCAAAUCCAUAGAUCUAAGAUGCAAGGAAUGAAGGCCCUCUCUUUGGGUGAUUAGCCUUUGCUUAUGCAAAGAGGAAUCUACAAAGGUAUAAUUUCUCAACUAACAAAUGUUGUUUUAAGUUUAGUCAAGGUUCACCAAUCUACUAGGUUUUGAAUUUCAUGGUUAAUGUUUUGUUUUUAAGUGCAUACAAGCAUGAUUCUGCCUUUUAAUUGUUAAUUGUAUGCUAUAGAUGUUGCUUAAAUGAACAUGUUUUUCACAAAAUUUCCUUCAUGGAGAAGCACAGUUAAAUCACAGAUCCAUACACCACAGAACUGAGUACAACUAUUAUUACUAGAUCUACAACAAUUCAACUUGCAAGGAUAUGAAAUUUUACCUCCCAGAUUCACCGAUCUGGGCUCUUGGAAGCUUGUGCCGUUUUUGUCUAUUGAAGCUGAUGUUUGUCCAUCCGCUUCCUUUCCCAUGGGCUCUAUCAUGGAUCAGCAUUCCUUGAGCACAAAAAAAAAAAAAAAAAAAAACAACAACAACAACAAUGAAACCAUGUUGGGACAUAAAUACCAUUUUUACAAAUCAAGACACCACAACCCAGGAUUCAUUUUACCUUCGGAUGGGAGGCGGAUUUGUGAUGUCCAAGCGGGUCCUGUUUUCUUCCUUUGUUCUGGGACCAGAUUUGUUGUCCUGCACAGUUCACAACAGAAAGACUAAUGACACUAUGGCUUUUUGAUCCAGGUUAUGUAUCCUUUAAAACACACAACAUUGUGAAAUUCAUUUUAGGUCUGCAGGUCUUAUUCAUUUUGUUAUUUGUUCAUCAGAUCUCGGCUCCUUUACGUUUUAGGGUCCAUAUUUUUUGUGGUCAUUUAGUUUUCGUUAAGUCUAAUGCAUUUCCAGUCCCCUUUCAUCAUAUACAUGUUAGUUCGUAUGUUGUUAGCUCGAUGCAUGCUUAAACCCGCAUAUACAUAUGGUUUUUGUUAACAUUUUUCUCAGAUCCAUGGACGAAAUUAAUCAUGCCAUUUAAAUCAGAGCAGGGCUGAGUUUAUACCUUCAUAACCAAUAGAUCACGACUUUUAAGAUGUGUCAUGCUUUCUGUCCAAUGGAUUUUUAGUUUGAGAAAUCUUUCUCUCGGAUCUUUCACGGAUCUGAGUUUUUUGCAUACAUACCAUACCAUUAUAAUUACAUGCACAAGUAAUGAAGAUAUUUUCUCAGAACAUAGGGUUCAUUAACCUACGGAGUACAAAAUUUUUACCUUUUGCAGGACCCGGAUCUGCAGUGUUGUAGUUGUUGUUCCUUUUCAUUGCCGUUGCAGCAUUUUCAGGUCAUUGCCGUUUGCACAUUUAUAAUAUACAGAGAUCUGAGACCAACAUGCAUCAGUCACAGAACCAUGAUGUUCAACCAGUUACUCAGAGACUAUUAAAAAAAAAAAAAAAAAAAGGGACGAAGGUGUGUUACCUGCUGAUGGCUGGUUUAUGGACAAUCGACCAUAGAUCUACCAGUAUUUGGGGUGCAAGGUUGGUGCUGCUGUGAGAGAGGAGGAGGCUGAAUUUCUAAGAGACAGAAGGUUCUUACGUUUUUAGGAGUAAUGAAAGAGAGAGGGAGUAGAGAUGAAUUGGGGACAAUUGAGAAAAAUGUGAGAGAAAGGGAGGUCUUUCCCUUUUAGAGAGAACUGGUUGAUGAUAGAAAUGGACCAUAAUGGAGCUUUUCAGUUGAAAUCUUAAGGAACUCACUACCGGAUGCACGACACGUGUACAAAUCUGGCGUUUUUCUUGUCUGUCCGAGAACGUUGUUUUGAACUAGGGAAAUAAGGAGCUGUUUGGCUCGGGGUUUAAUGAAAAGAAGAAAGUUGUUGGCUGACUCUGAGCUCGAGACAGAUUAAAGAGGAUCCAAUGUUUAUUUCAAAGGGCAUUGCGUGCAGCAAGUGGCCCCGUGCAGAUUUUUUUUUAAUUUUAUUAUUAUUUUUUUUAAUGGCUGCCAUCAAUCAUGGCCUAUUGUCCAGCUGCAUGCCUUUCUUCCAGGGAAUCCAAUGUUCAUUGGACCUUUGUUUUGCACGUUGGGUUUCAAACCCUAUGGCUGCCACGUGUUCUUUGUCAAGGCUAAAAGGUUGGCACACCAUGAUCUUUUACCAUGGCACUAGGACCUGAUUUCGAAUCAGGUGAGUCUUUUAUAUAAUCUUAUUUUAUUUUAUUUUAUUUUUUUUAGUUUAUUUCGUCUAGGUUGUUGUUUGUCUUUUCCAGUUUUGUUUCUUUUUAGUUCAUUUAGUUUCUUUUAUUAUUCCACACCUUGAGGACAAAGUGUGAAAUAAGUUUGGGGGUGGGAAAUAACAUUUUUGGUUUUUAAUUUUUGUGUCAGUUAAAAAUUUUCAUUUUAUUUAAGUUCAUAUCCAUAUAUUAUUUUAAACGUUAGAGCAAAUGGACAUGGUAAAGAUUAAUCCCACAUUAGAGUUUUUUCUAUUUAUCGUUGCUUAGACACUAAUUCAUGAUUAUACUUUGAACUUUGCACAUCACACCAACAUGGUUUGUGGGGAGUGAGAUUGAAACACUUGCUUUUAGUCUAAGUUUAUUUUUAAAUUUAAAUUUUUGUUUUAAGUAAAGUCAGUUAUUAGUGUGAAAAAAGUAAUAAUUGUCUCACCCGAGGUUUUGCCUAGUAACCGGGCUAGUCCUGCCUAAUCAGCAGUGAUUCUCGUGUCAAACGGUAGAGUUUUGGCAUGGGGCAGGGUGGUUAGUUGGUUUCGUAGCCUUUUCAGCUCGGGUUAAUAAGUCCUUAGGGGUGUUCUACACCAAAUGCCCUAAAGCCCUAGUGGUUUGGGAGUCAUUGACCUAAAGCUCGCUACAUGGGUUGGAUUGAAA